RNAcentral lists this transfer RNA (75 nucleotides) under Ailuropoda melanoleuca (giant panda). It matches the Rfam family "tRNA". Rfam says of the family: Transfer RNA (tRNA) molecules are approximately 80 nucleotides in length. Their secondary structure includes four short double-helical elements and three loops (D, anti-codon, and T loops). The record is from Rfam by way of RNAcentral. Lineage: Eukaryota; Metazoa; Chordata; Mammalia; Carnivora; Ursidae.
CCCUAGGUGGCUCAGCCAGUAGACAGCAUGAGACUCUUGAUCUCAGGAUUGUGAGUUCGAACCCCACAUUGGGUG